GGAACUGGGGUUCCCUACAUUGAUCGAGGUCACCUGGUUAAGAUUGAUGGUGUUCGCCGGCGGGCGCCGGCCGGGCCUACAGAGCGGGUGACGAAGCCCCAUACGCUCGAGGACCGGACGCGGUGCCGCCGCUGCCUUUCGGGCCCGCCCCCCGGAAGCGGGGGGCGAGAGCCCAACACACAAGCCGUGCUUGAGGGCAGCAAUGACGCUCGGACAGGCAUGCCCCCCGGAAUACCAGGGGGCGCAAUGUGCGUUCAAAGACUCGAUGAUUCACUGAAUUCUGCAAUUCACAUUACUUAUCGCAUUUCGCUGCGUUCUUCAUCGAUGCCGGAACCAAGAGAUCCGUUGUUGAAAGUUUUAACUGAUUUAGUCAAGUACUCAGACUGCAAUCUUCAGACAAGAGUUCGUUUGUGUGUCUUCGGCGGGCGCGGGCCCGGGGGCGGAUGCCCCCCGGCGGCCGUGAGGCGGGCCCGCCGAAGCAACAAGGUACGAUAAACACGGGUGGGAGGUUGGACCCAGAGGGCCCUCACUCGGUAAUGAUCCUUCCGCGGCACCCCCUUCCGAAAC
RNAcentral lists this unclassified non-coding RNA (567 nucleotides) under Penicillium expansum. Its description in RNAcentral is "sequence contains ITS1, 5.8S rRNA gene and ITS2". The record is from RNAcentral. Lineage: Eukaryota; Fungi; Ascomycota; Eurotiomycetes; Eurotiales; Aspergillaceae.